GAGCAGCCCACUGUGUGGAAGUCAAAGGCAAGGAACUGCUGCCACCGCGGUGGUGCUGGAUGCAGCCAAGCGAUGCCGUGGGUGUGCAGCUGAAGCCACCCGAGGGACCGAGUCUGCUGUUUGUUGCCAUUCCUUCAGAGUUGGCUGGGUUUUAUUUUGGGGGCUUUAAAGAGGAUUCCUGGAUGAGGAAUAACGGACACUCCACUGGAUCCUACCUUGAUGUUUAGUGGAGUAGAGAUGAGUAUUUUUAUUGCAAGUUUUAUUGAAAACUCUUUGAUUCUUUAGAUA
Pezoporus flaviventris is the source of this 288-nucleotide long non-coding RNA. RefSeq lists it as uncharacterized. Lineage: Eukaryota; Metazoa; Chordata; Aves; Psittaciformes; Psittacidae. The transcript is spliced from 3 exons. The record is from RefSeq and is a predicted model, not a curated record.